UACGGGAAGGGCAAGCGUUAUCCGGAAUCACUGGGCGUAAAGCGUCUGUAGGUGGUGAUGCAAGUCACUGGUGCAAAACUCUGGCUCAACCGGAGGAAAGCCAGUGAAACUGCAUGACUAGAGUGUGGGAGAGGUAGAAGGAAUUCCCUGAGUAGCGGUGAAAUGCGUAGAUACAGGGAAGAACACCGGAGGCGAAAGCGUUCUACUGGAACACAACUGACACUGAGAGACGACAGCUAGGGGAGCGAAUGGG
RNAcentral lists this ribosomal RNA (253 nucleotides) under uncultured bacterium. RNAcentral's name for it is "partial 16S ribosomal RNA". It matches the Rfam family "Bacterial small subunit ribosomal RNA", at positions 524 to 776 of the family's 1533-position model. The record is from RNAcentral.